UACGUAGGGCGCAAGCGUUGUCCGGAAUUAUUGGGCGUAAAGAGCUCGUAGGCGGCUUGCUAAGUCAUACGUGAAAUCCCUCGGCUCAACCGAGGAACUGCGUCUGAUACUGGUUGGCUUGAAUUCGGGAGAGGGAUGCGGAAUUCCAGGUGUAGCGGUGAAAUGCGUAGAUAUCUGGAGGAACACCGGUGGCGAAGGCGGCAUCCUGGACCGAGAUUGACGCUGAUGCGCGAAAGCCAGGGGAGCAAACGGG
RNAcentral lists this ribosomal RNA (253 nucleotides) under uncultured bacterium. Its description in RNAcentral is "partial 16S ribosomal RNA". It matches the Rfam family "Bacterial small subunit ribosomal RNA", at positions 524 to 776 of the family's 1533-position model. The record is from RNAcentral.